UACGUAGGGGGCAAGCGUUGUCCGGAUUUAUUGGGCGUAAAGAGCGUGUAGGCGGCUUUGCAAGUCCGUUGUGAAAACUCGAGGCUCAACCUCGAGACGCCGGUGGAAACUGCAAAGCUAGAGUCCGGAAGAGGAGAGUGGAAUUCCUGGUGUAGCGGUGAAAUGCGCAGAUAUCUGGAGGAACACCGGUGGCGAAGGCGGCAUCCUGGACCGACACUGACGCUGAGGAGCGAAAGCCAGGGGAGCAAACGGG
This 253-nucleotide ribosomal RNA is filed under the name uncultured bacterium. RNAcentral's name for it is "partial 16S ribosomal RNA". It matches the Rfam family "Bacterial small subunit ribosomal RNA", at positions 524 to 776 of the family's 1533-position model. The record is from RNAcentral.